UGCGAAACGGUCCGUAUUCCGUGCCCACUUAGAGCACUGAACAUCCCACGUCUUGGUUUGACUUCCUGGUACAGGAUACUUGCACUUAGCAUGGAGUGAUGAAGCAGAGCAGUGUACUUUUAUUAAAUGUGCAGAUUUUAGCAGUAUAACAGCAGUUCAUGAAAAAAACAUGUGUGCUGAAAAUAAAGUGUUUUUACCCACA
Molecule: long non-coding RNA, 202 nt
Filed under: Dermacentor andersoni
Lineage: Eukaryota; Metazoa; Arthropoda; Arachnida; Ixodida; Ixodidae
Description: uncharacterized LOC126530134
Source: RNAcentral